RNAcentral lists this ribosomal RNA (328 nucleotides) under uncultured Neocallimastigales. RNAcentral's name for it is "partial large subunit ribosomal RNA". The record is from RNAcentral. Lineage: Eukaryota; Fungi; Neocallimastigomycota; Neocallimastigomycetes; Neocallimastigales.
GUUGUUUAGUUGAAAAUCAAUUAAAUAAUUUUUGAUUUUAAGUAGUAUUGACUUCAUCAGCUUGCUGCUUUCUUUUCGGAAAUUAUUUAAUGCACUUUUCAGUUAACAAGUCAACAUCAAUUUCUUUUGUUGUAAAAAGGUAAGAGGAAGGUGGCUUACAUUUCGGUGUAAGUGUUUAUAGCCUUUUACCUCUGCAAUCGGAGAGAUUGAGGUCAGCAGCGUAGACUCUUCGGGGUUAGAUACACUUGUGCUAAGCUAUAGCCUUGUAUAGACAACUUGUUGACUAUGCUCAGUCAUGUAGCUUACUCGCUUGUAGUAUUUUACCUAC